This 226-nucleotide ribosomal RNA is filed under the name uncultured bacterium. RNAcentral describes it as "partial 16S ribosomal RNA". It matches the Rfam family "Bacterial small subunit ribosomal RNA", at positions 538 to 762 of the family's 1533-position model. The record is from RNAcentral.
ACGUUAUUCGGAAUCACUGGGCUUAAAGCGCGUGUAGGCGGACCGCCACGUCGGCUGCUGAAAUCCCCCGGCUCAACCGGGGAAGGGGCACCGAUACGAGCGGUCUGGAGGGGGGUAGGGGGACCUGGAACUUCCGGUGGAGCGGUGAAAUGCGUUGAGAUCGGAAGGAACGCCCGUGGCGAAAGCGAGGUCCUGGACCCUUUCUGACGCUGAGACGCGAAAGCCA